AAGUCGGAAGCCGCUAAGGAGUGUGUAACAACUCACCUGCCGAAUCAACUAGCCCUGAAAAUGGAUGGCGCUUGAGCGGGAGACUUAUACUCAACCGUUGCUAGGCUUGUGUACACAGGCAAUAGUUUUUUGUUUUUACAAUAAAAAACGAAUGCAACAGUUACCUGGCCGCAACGAGUAAGAGGGUCGCAGUGGUUAGCGCUGAAGACUUUGGGCGUAGGCCCAGUCGGAGCUUCCAUUGGUGCAGAUCUUGGUGGUAGUAGCAAAUAUUCAAGUGAGAUCCUUGAAGACUGAAGUGGAGAAGGGUUCCUCGUGAACAGCAGUUGGAUGCGGGUCAGUCGAUCCUAAGAUAUUGGCUAAUGCCAUUUUUUGCAAUGAGAGACGGAGAUCAAAUCCAUCUCGGCAAUCGAAAGGGAAACGGGUUUAUAUUCCCGUACCUGGACACGGAGAUUAAAUAUCCAUUGCGGAUAUUUAGCGCGGUAACGCAAACGAACUCGGAGACGUUGAGCAGAGCCCGAGCCAGAGUUCUCUUUUCUGGUUAAGGAACGGACUCCCUGGAAGCGGUUCAGCCGGCGAUAGGGACGUUGUUUCCGUAAAGCGCCACGGUUCCUGUGGCGUCUCGUGCACUCUGCUCGACCCAUGAAAAUCCGAGGGAGGCAAUUUGAAUUUCGUGCCAGAUCGUACCGAUAUCCGCAGCAGGUCUCCAAGGUGAACAGCCUCUAGUCGAUAGAAUAAUGUAGGUAAGGGAAGUCGGCAAAUUAGAUCCGUAACUUCGGGAAAAGGAUUGGCUCUAAGGACUGGGUCGGUCGGGCUGCAGCGUGAAGUGAGUGCGGUUUGAUCCGUGCAGUGCUAACGCAUAUUGGUUGCACAAAAUUUCUUGGAUCUUUCAAAAAAAAUUUCCCCGAUUGAGCACAUCAUACACACAAAAACACACACAAACACACACACACAGAUWAUUGUUUGUUAAUCGCAGAUGAUAUUUGUUGUUGUUGUUGUUGUUGUUGUUGUUGUUGUUGUUGUUGCUGUUCGUUCGGGUGUAAAAAUUUUUUGCUGAGUGAAAAGAAAUGUGUCUAAUAAGUGUUUGGCUCGGCUAGUGUUUGAACUGUCUUAUGGACCGCUGCAGCUGUGCAUCGGUUCACUUUAGCGGUGUCGGUGCUUCGUCCGGCGCUAAACAGUCAGCUUAGAACUGGCGCGGACUCGGGGAAUCCGACUGUCUAAUUAAAACAGAGGAGACAGAUGGUCCUUGCGGGCGUUGACUGUCUCUGAUUUCUGCCCAGUGCUCUGAAUGUAAAAGUGAAGAAAUUCAACCAAGCGCGGGUAAACGGCGGGAGUAACUAUGACUCUCUUAAGGUAGCCAAAUGCCUCGUCGGAUAACUACCGACGCGCAUGAAUGGAUUAUCGAGAUUCCCACUGUCCCUAUCUACUAUCUAGCGAAAUCACAGCCAAGGGAACGGGCUUGGUAAACACAGCGGGGAAAGAAGACCCUGUUGAGCUUGACUCUAGUCCGACUCUGUGAAGAGUCAUGAGAGGUGUAGCAUAAGUGGGAGGCUUUUUUAUGGAAGCCACCAGUGAAAUACCACUACUUUCAUCGAUUCUUUACUUAUUCGGUAAGACGGGAAUUGAACCAAGACGGUUCUUGAUUCUGGUAUAAAGUGUAGCCGCUUGGUGGCCGCACGACUCGCGCCGAAGACAGUGUCAGGCGGGGAGUUUGACUGGGGCGGUACAUCUGUCAAAAGGUAACGCAGGUGUCCUAAGGCUAGCUCAGAGAGGACGGAAACCUCUCGUAGAGUAAAAGGGCAAAAGCUCGCUUGAUCUUGAUUUCCAGUACGAAUACAGACCGCGAAAGCGUGGCCUAUCGAUCCUUUUGAAUUAGAAGGUCUCUAGCAAGAGGUGUCAGAAAAGUUACCACAGGGAUAACUGGCUUGUGGCAGCCAAGCGUCCAUAGCGACGUUGCUUUUUGAUCCUUCGAUGUCGGCUCUUCCUAUCAUUGCGAAGCAGAAUUCGCCAAGCGUUGGAUUGUUCACCCACCAAUAGGG
RNAcentral lists this ribosomal RNA (2036 nucleotides) under Pelecanema sirry. RNAcentral's name for it is "partial large subunit ribosomal RNA". Lineage: Eukaryota; Metazoa; Nematoda; Chromadorea; Rhabditida; Acuariidae. The record is from RNAcentral.